GCGCCCCGUAAAACGGGACGGCCCGCCAGAGGACCCAAACUCUAAUGUUUCUUAUUGUAACUUCUGAGUAAAACAAACAAAUAAAUCAAAACUUUCAACAACGGAUCUCUUGGUUCUGGCAUCGAUGAAGAACGCAGCAAAAUGCGAUAAGUAAUGUGAAUUGCAGAAUUCAGUGAAUCAUCGAAUCUUUGAACGCACAUUGCGCCCGCUGGUAUUCCGGCGGGCAUGCCUGUUCGAGCGUCAUUUCAACCCUCAAGCCCCCGGGUUUGGUGUUGGGGAUCGGCUCUGCCUCACGGCGGUGCCGCCCCCGAAAUACAUUGGCGGUCUCGCUGCAGCCUCCAUUGCGUAGUAGCUAACACCUCGCAACUGGAACGCGGCGCGGCCAUGCCGUAAAACCCCAACUUCUGAAUGUUGACCUCGGAUCAGGUAGGAAUACCCGCUGAACUUAAGCAUAUCAUAGCCGGAGGAA
Molecule: ribosomal RNA, 469 nt
Filed under: Colletotrichum dematium
Lineage: Eukaryota; Fungi; Ascomycota; Sordariomycetes; Glomerellales; Glomerellaceae
Description: eukaryotic LSU rRNA
Rfam family: 5.8S ribosomal RNA (bases 90-243)
Source: RNAcentral